GUCCACGCCGUAAACUAUGGGUGCUAGCCGUCGGGGAGCUUGCUCUUCGGUGGCGCAGCUAACGCGUUAAGCACCCCGCCUGGGGAGUACGGUCGCAAGAUUAAAACUCAAAGGAAUUGACGGGGCCCGCACAAGCGGUGGAGCAUGUGGUUUAAUUCGAGGCAACGCGAAGAACCUUACCAGCCCCUUGACUUCCCGAUCGGGGGACCAGAGAUGGACCUCUUCAAUUGGUCGGUGACAGGUGCUGCAUGGCUGUCGU
This 259-nucleotide ribosomal RNA is filed under the name uncultured bacterium. Its description in RNAcentral is "partial 16S ribosomal RNA". It matches the Rfam family "Bacterial small subunit ribosomal RNA", at positions 793 to 1055 of the family's 1533-position model. The record is from RNAcentral.